CGCCCGAGCUGCUGCCGCCGUUCUCGAGCGCCGGAUCUGACGUCGUCUCCUCCGCCGCCUCCUCCGCACCACCGGCUCAACCUACCCAACCCAGGAUGCUACUAGUUAUGUUGAUUGGUGGUGAAGUUCCCUUCUGUUGAUUUUACAUGAUACCUGUCAUAUGAUCUGGCAUCAAACUAUCAAGACUGCCAAAGAAAUCAAAGAUGGAAGAUAAUCUUUUUGGCGGCAUGUGGUCAGAGGGGGAGGUAGUGUUGGGGUGUUUGGCGCGGUGAGGGAAGGUGAGCGGAGGAGGGUGGUGGCACAACGGCGGCGGUCACAAUUCGAUGUUGAAACCAUUUAUCUUGUAUUGUUGUGAUAAUUUGAUGUUGAAACUAUGUACUUGUGAAUUUUCUUGUAUUGUUAUGAUAAUUUGACAUUGAAACUAUGUACUUGUGAUAAUUUGAUGUUGAAACUAUGCUCUGGUGAUUUGUAUGACA
Long non-coding RNA from Asparagus officinalis (garden asparagus), 476 nucleotides. RefSeq lists it as uncharacterized. The record is from RefSeq and is a predicted model, not a curated record. Lineage: Eukaryota; Viridiplantae; Streptophyta; Magnoliopsida; Asparagales; Asparagaceae. The transcript has 3 exons.